This 495-nucleotide ribosomal RNA is filed under the name uncultured bacterium. RNAcentral's name for it is "partial 16S ribosomal RNA". It matches the Rfam family "Bacterial small subunit ribosomal RNA", at positions 28 to 507 of the family's 1533-position model. The record is from RNAcentral.
GACGAACGCUGGCGGCGUGCCUAAUACAUGCAAGUAGAACGCUGAAGGAGGAGCUUGCUUCUCUGGAUGAGUUGCGAACGGGUGAGUAACGCGUAGGUAACCUGCCUGGUAGCGGGGGAUAACUAUUGGAAACGAUAGCUAAUACCGCAUAAUAGUAGAUGUUGCAUGACAUUUGCUUAAAAGGUGCAAUUGCAUCACUACCAGAUGGACCUGCGUUGUAUUAGCUAGUUGGUGAGGUAACGGCUCACCAAGGCAACGAUACAUAGCCGACCUGAGAGGGUGAUCGGCCACACUGGGACUGAGACACGGCCCAGACUCCUACGGGAGGCAGCAGUAGGGAAUCUUCGGCAAUGGACGGAAGUCUGACCGAGCAACGCCGCGUGAGUGAAGAAGGUUUUCGGAUCGUAAAGCUCUGUUGUAAGAGAAGAACGAGGGUGAGAGUGGAAAGUUCACACUGUGACGGUAUCUUACCAGAAAGGGACGGCUAACUACGUG